This 382-nucleotide ribosomal RNA is filed under the name Enterobacter sp. 10M8. RNAcentral's name for it is "bacterial SSU rRNA". It matches the Rfam family "Bacterial small subunit ribosomal RNA", at positions 93 to 478 of the family's 1533-position model. The record is from RNAcentral. Lineage: Bacteria; Pseudomonadati; Pseudomonadota; Gammaproteobacteria; Enterobacterales; Enterobacteriaceae.
GAGCGGCGGACGGGUGAGUAAUGUCUGGGAAACUGCCUGAUGGAGGGGGAUAACUACUGGAAACGGUAGCUAAUACCGCAUAACGUCGCAAGACCAAAGAGGGGGACCUUCGGGCCUCUUGCCAUCAUAUGUGCCCAGAUGGGAUUAGCUAGUAUGUGGGGUAACGGCUCACCUACGCGACGAUCCCUAUCUGGUCUGAGAGGAUGACCACCCACACUGGAACUGAGACACGGUCCACACUCCUACGGGAGGCAGCAGUGGGGAAUAUUGCACAAUGGGCGCAAGCCUGAUGCACCCAUGCCGCGUGUAUGAAGAACGCCUUCGGGUUGUAAAGUACUUUCAGCGGGGAAGAAGGUGUUGAGGUUAAUAACCUCAGCAAUUG